RNAcentral lists this unclassified non-coding RNA (310 nucleotides) under plant metagenome. RNAcentral describes it as "partial contains 5.8S ribosomal RNA, internal transcribed spacer 2, and large subunit ribosomal RNA". The stretch from base 1 to 105 matches the Rfam family "5.8S ribosomal RNA", at positions 50 to 154 of the family's 154-position model. The record is from RNAcentral.
GAAAUGCGAUAAGUAGUGUGAAUUGCAGAAUUCAGUGAAUCAUCGAAUCUUUGAACGCACAUUGCGCCCCUUGUUAUUCCAUGGGGCAUGCCUGUUCGAGCGUCAUUUGUACCCUCAAGCUCUGCUUGGUGUUGGGUGUUUGUCCCCGUCUCCGCGCGUGGACUCGCCCCAAAGUGAUUGGCAGCCGGCGUACUGGUCCCGGAGCGCAGCACAUGUCGCGCAAACGAGUGCCUUGGUACGGCGGCGUCCAUAAGCCCCUCUCUCACGCUCUUGACCUCGGAUCAGGUAGGGAUACCCGCUGAACUUAAGC